This 365-nucleotide ribosomal RNA is filed under the name uncultured fungus. Its description in RNAcentral is "LSU rRNA". It matches the Rfam family "Eukaryotic large subunit ribosomal RNA", at positions 66 to 424 of the family's 3401-position model. The record is from RNAcentral. Lineage: Eukaryota; Fungi.
CAACAGGNUAUUGCCUCAGUAACGGCGAGUGAAGCGGCAACAGCUCAAAUUUGAAAUCUGGCUCUUUCAGGGUCCGAGUUGUAAUUUGUAGAAGAUGCUUCGGGUGUACGCUCCGGUCUAAGUUCCUUGAAACAGGACGUCAUAGAGGGUGGGAAUCCCGUAUGUGACUGGGUGCUUUCGCUCAUGUGAAGCUCUUUCGACGAGUCGAGUUGUUUGGGAAUGCAGCUCAAAAUGGGUGGUAAAUUUCAUCUAAAGCUAAAUAUUGGCCAGAGACCGAUAGCGCACAAGUAGAGUGAUCGAAAGAUGAAAAGCACUUUGGAAAGAGAGUUAAACAGUACGUGAAAUUUGUUGAAAGGGAAGCGCUU